AACGCGAAGAACCUUACCUACCCUUGACAUCCUGAGAAGACUAUAGAGAUAUGGUUGUGCCGAAAGGAACUCAGAGACAGGUGCUGCAUGGCUGUCGUCAGCUCGUGUUGUGAGAUGUUGGGUUAAGUCCCGUAACGAGCGCAACCCUUAUCCUUAGUUACCAUCGCGUGAUGGCGGGGACUCUAAGGAGACUGCUGGUGAUGAACCGGAGGAAGGCGGGGACGACGUCAAGUCAUCAUGGCCUUUAUGGGUAGGGCUACACACGUGCUACAAUGGGGCGUACAGAGGGUUGCCAACCUGCGAAGGGGAGCCAAUCCCAGAAAGCGCCUCGUAGUCCGGAUCGGAGUCUGCAACUCGACUCCGUGAAGUCGGAAUCGCUAGUAAUCGCGAAUCAGAACGUCGCGGUGAAUACGUUCCCGGGCCUUGUACACACCGCUCGCGA
Molecule: ribosomal RNA, 442 nt
Filed under: uncultured bacterium
Lineage: Bacteria
Description: bacterial SSU rRNA
Rfam family: Bacterial small subunit ribosomal RNA
Source: RNAcentral